RNAcentral lists this transfer RNA (79 nucleotides) under Mesorhizobium sp. 113-3-9. RNAcentral describes it as "tRNA-Ala". Lineage: Bacteria; Pseudomonadati; Pseudomonadota; Alphaproteobacteria; Hyphomicrobiales; Phyllobacteriaceae. The record is from RNAcentral.
UUGCGCCUGGCCGGAGGUGAAAGCGGCCGCGGCGGUGGCGUCGUCGUCGAAGCGCACGAUCUUGGCGUUGGGCGCGGCC